AACGCACCUUGCGCUCCUUGGCAUUCCGAGGAGCAUGCCUGUUUGAGUGUCGCCGACUUCUCAAACCCCCCCAACCUUCCACGGACCAGGUUGUGGAUUUGGAUCGGUGGAGGAUGCAUUCGCUGUCCCCAGGGACUUGGGGCUGUUGUGCUUCUCUGAAAUGCAUCGGCAUAAAUUAUGGCUGCGGUCACGAACCUGUUGCCGGAAUGAUAUGAAUCCAUCUUACCUGCUUCUAACCUCGUGCCCAGCCGGAGGAACGCCUCAUUAUCUGACCUCAAAUCAGGCAGGACCACCCGCUGAACUUAA
RNAcentral lists this unclassified non-coding RNA (306 nucleotides) under uncultured fungus. RNAcentral's name for it is "partial contains 5.8S ribosomal RNA, internal transcribed spacer 2, and large subunit ribosomal RNA". Lineage: Eukaryota; Fungi. The record is from RNAcentral.